CAGUCGCCGCGGUAAUACGUAGGUGGCAAGCGUUGUCCGGAAUUAUUGGGCGUAAAGGGCUCGCAGGCGGUUUCUUAAGUCUGAUGUGAAAGCCCCCGGCUCAACCGGGGAGGGUCAUUGGAAACUGGGAAACUUGAGUGCAGAAGAGGAGAAUGGAAUUCCACGUGUAGCGGUGAAAUGCGUAGAGAUGUGGAGGAACACCAGUGGCGAAGGCGACUCUCUGGUCUGUAACUGACGCUGAGGAGCGAAAGCGUGGGGAGCGAACAGGAUUAGAUACCCGCGUAGUCCCUGUCUCUUAUAC
This 301-nucleotide ribosomal RNA is filed under the name uncultured bacterium. RNAcentral describes it as "partial 16S ribosomal RNA". It matches the Rfam family "Bacterial small subunit ribosomal RNA", at positions 509 to 807 of the family's 1533-position model. The record is from RNAcentral.